GGAAUUUGCACAAUGGGGGAAACCCUGAUGCAGCCAUGCCGCGUGUGUGAAGAAGGCCUUAGGGUUGUAAAGCACUUUCAGUUGGGAGGAAAGGUUAGUUGUUAAUACCUGCUAGCUGUGACGUUAACAACAGAAGAAGCACCGGCUAACUCCGUGCCAGCAGCCGCUGUAAUACGGAGGGUGCAAGCGUUAAUCGGAAUUACUGGGCGUAAAGCGCACGCAGGCGGUCUGUUAAGCUAGAUGUGAAAGCCCCGAGCUCAACGUGGGAAGGUCAUUUAGAACUGGCAGACUAAAGUUUUGGAGAGGGGAGUGGAAUUUCAUGUGUAGCGGUGAAAUGCGUAGAUAUCUGGAGGAACAUCAGUGGCGAAGGCGACUCCCUGGUCAAUAACUGACGCUCAUGUGCGAAAGCGUGGGUAGCGAACAGGAUUAGAUACCCUGGU
Molecule: ribosomal RNA, 440 nt
Filed under: uncultured marine bacterium
Lineage: Bacteria
Description: bacterial SSU rRNA
Rfam family: Bacterial small subunit ribosomal RNA
Source: RNAcentral